UCAAUGGGUGAUCAAGAAGGCCCAUGGCCUAGGCAAGUGACCUCCAUUGCACUUAGGAGGGGUGCUAGCCUAAGGUCUACCCAAGUGGUGGAGCCUACAUCAUAAUUUGUUGCUGUGGGGGCCUGUGUUCGCGCGGCCCCCUCCCAAUUGAGUUACGAACUUUAAUUUUAGAAGAUAAAUAACAUUGCUCUGGCUGCCUGUGUAUGCA
This 208-nucleotide long non-coding RNA is filed under the name Lathyrus oleraceus (garden pea). Its description in RNAcentral is "Pisum sativum (pea) long non-coding RNA (PSAT_LNC007712)". The stretch from base 1 to 143 matches the Rfam family "U1 spliceosomal RNA", at positions 19 to 166 of the family's 166-position model. Rfam says of the family: U1 is a small nuclear RNA (snRNA) component of the spliceosome (involved in pre-mRNA splicing). Its 5' end forms complementary base pairs with the 5' splice junction, thus defining the 5' donor site of an intron. There are significant differences in sequence and secondary structure between metazoan and yeast U1 snRNAs, the latter being much longer (568 nucleotides as compared to 164 nucleotides in human). The record is from RNAcentral. Lineage: Eukaryota; Viridiplantae; Streptophyta; Magnoliopsida; Fabales; Fabaceae.